This 985-nucleotide long non-coding RNA is filed under the name Rattus norvegicus (Norway rat). Its description in RNAcentral is "long non-coding RNA NONRATT008454". Lineage: Eukaryota; Metazoa; Chordata; Mammalia; Rodentia; Muridae. The record is from RNAcentral.
UGCACCGGGUAAGAAGGUCAUUUACAGCCAGCCCAGUGCUCGCAGUGAGGGAGAAUUCAAACAGACCUCGUCAUUCCUGGUGUGACCUGCUGGGGCUCAUCUCAUGUCCACUUGCCUUACUCAGGUGCUACAAGUUCCAGCCCCUGCUGGCUGUAGCUGCACUGGAUGCCUUCAAUGUCUUCUAGGUCCCCCGGGACCCCUUGCUUUUAUUCUAGCUAGGAUAUGAAUUUAAUAACAUCAGCUACUUCUCCCUCCUCUUUCCCGCCCUCCCUCCUUUCCUUACCACCAUUGCGUGGCCUGAGACUAGUUACAAAGUUUUCAUUCCCCAUUCCUAUGUGGGAUUGGACAAGAGUCCUAGACUAGGCAGUAAUAAUGACUGGGCUGACAGGAGCCCAAAACCACUACCUGCCUGUAAAGGCCUCUCCAUAAGGACUUUGAGCCUAGCUUCCCAGCUUUCCUCCCCGGGCGGAGUGCCAGUUGCUCUAGAGUGGGGACUGGAGGAAGAUGGGCUGAGGCAUUUGAUGGUGACCUCAGGUGUCUAGCCUCUGGAGCCUGCUCUUUGUCUCAAAAUGUGCCACUGGGAUUCUCCUGGAUACAAGUAAACUGACACCGUGUCCGAACAAGGUGGGAGAGCUCGGUUAACUCCCAAGAGACUUGGAGUGAGAAAGAUUUAAAGCGAUCUAAAGAAAAGGCUGGAACUGGUGGCUGUUAGUCACUUCAUUUGGCUGGAACUACUGCCCAGACCCUUGUAAGAUUUAUAUGGAUCGAGGAGAUGUGUGUGUUAAUAGUCUUGUCUCUUUGAUGGUGUGUGUGUGUGUGUGUGUGUGUGUGUGUGUGUGGAGAGAGAGAGAGAGAGAGAGAGAGAGAGAGAGAGAGAGAGAUUCUAUAUUGAAAUUGAUUGUUAUAUAGAAGGGCUUUCUAGCUCUUUGGCAAGGUUGUGUUUAUAUUUGACAGAUGUUGCUGGAAAUAAAAACUUGAUUUGACA